RNAcentral lists this ribosomal RNA (437 nucleotides) under Deosergestes corniculum. RNAcentral describes it as "partial large subunit ribosomal RNA". It matches the Rfam family "Bacterial large subunit ribosomal RNA", at positions 1972 to 2606 of the family's 2925-position model. Lineage: Eukaryota; Metazoa; Arthropoda; Malacostraca; Decapoda; Sergestidae. The record is from RNAcentral.
UCUUUUAAUUGAAGGCUCGUAUGAAUGGUCGGACAAAAAGUAAGCUGUCUUCAAUUAUAAAAAUUGAAUUUGACUUUUAAGUGAAAAGGCUUAAAUAUAACAAAGUGACGAUAAGACCCUAUAAAGCUUUAUAGUGUAGUUUUUUAUUAUAAAUUAUUAAAUUGUAUAACUUAAUUUAAAAUAAAGCUUUUUCGUUGGGGCGACGAAAAUAUAAUUAAAAUAACUGUUUUUGUUUUUAUAACAAAUAUAUUUGGUUUAAAUAAAUGAUCCUUUAUUAGAGAUUAAAAGAUUAAGUUACUUUAGGGAUAACAGCGUAAUCUUCUUUGAGAGUUCAUAUCGACAAGAAGGGUUGCGACCUCGAUGUUGAAUUAAGGUUCCUUUAUGGUGUAGCAGUUAUAAUUGGAGGUCUGUUCGACCUUUAAAUCCUUACAUGAUUU